This 578-nucleotide ribosomal RNA is filed under the name uncultured bacterium. RNAcentral's name for it is "partial 16S ribosomal RNA". It matches the Rfam family "Bacterial small subunit ribosomal RNA", at positions 355 to 922 of the family's 1533-position model. The record is from RNAcentral.
UGGGGAAUAUUGCACAAUGGGCGCAAGCCUGAUGCAGCCAUGCCGCGUGUGUGAAGAAGGCCUUCGGGUUGUAAAGCACUUUCAGCGAGGAGGAAGGUGGUGAGCUUAAUACGCUCAUCAAUUGACGUUACUCGCAGAAGAAGCACCGGCUAACUCCGUGCCAGCAGCCGCGGUAAUACGGAGGGUGCAAGCGUUAAUCGGAAUUACUGGGCGUAAAGCGCACGCAGGCGGUUUGUUAAGUCAGAUGUGAAAUCCCCGGGCUCAACCUGGGAACUGCAUUUGAAACUGGCAAGCUAGAGUCUCGUAGAGGGGGGUAGAAUUCCAGGUGUAGCGGUGAAAUGCGUAGAGAUCUGGAGGAAUACCGGUGGCGAAGGCGGCCCCCUGGACGAAGACUGACGCUCAGGUGCGAAAGCGUGGGGCAGCAAACAGGAUUAGAUACCCUGGUAGUCCAGCGCUGUAAACGAUGUCGAUUUUGGAGGUUGUGCCCUUGAGGCGUGGCUUCCGGAGCUAACGCGUUAAAUCGACCGCCUGGGGAGUACGGCCGCAAGGUUAAAACUUAAAGGAAUUGACGGGGUCAU